This 75-nucleotide transfer RNA is filed under the name uncultured Clostridium sp. RNAcentral's name for it is "tRNA-???(gt)". It matches the Rfam family "tRNA". Rfam says of the family: Transfer RNA (tRNA) molecules are approximately 80 nucleotides in length. Their secondary structure includes four short double-helical elements and three loops (D, anti-codon, and T loops). Lineage: Bacteria; Bacillati; Bacillota; Clostridia; Eubacteriales; Clostridiaceae. The record is from RNAcentral.
GAGGAUAUAGUUUAAUUGCGUAAAACAUCCAAUAGUAAUUGGAAGAUGAAGGUUCGAAUCCUUUAAUCCUUACCA